GGGUGUAACUCAAUGGUAGAGUGACAGCCUUCCAAGCUGAUUACGAGGGUUCGAUUCCCUUCACCC
This 66-nucleotide transfer RNA is filed under the name pig gut metagenome. It matches the Rfam family "tRNA". Rfam says of the family: Transfer RNA (tRNA) molecules are approximately 80 nucleotides in length. The record is from RNAcentral.